Molecule: ribosomal RNA, 377 nt
Filed under: uncultured bacterium
Lineage: Bacteria
Description: bacterial SSU rRNA
Rfam family: Bacterial small subunit ribosomal RNA
Source: RNAcentral
AUACGUAGGUGGCGAGCGUUGUCCGGAAUUACUGGGCGUAAAGCGCGCGUAGACGGCUUAGUAAGUCAGAUGUGAAAGACUCGGGCUCAACCUGGGGGCGGCAUCUGAGACUGUUGAGCUUGAGUGCAGGAGAGGCAAGUGGAAUUCCCAGUGUAGCAGUGAAAUGCGUAGAGAUUGGGAGGAACACCAGUGGCGAAGGCGACUUGCUGGACUGUAACUGACGUUGAGGCGCGAAAGCUAGGGGAGCAAACGGGAUUAGAUACCCCGGUAGUCCUAGCCGUAAACGAUGGGUACUAGGUGUGGGAGGUAUCGACCCCUUCCGUGCCGGAGUGAACGCAAUAAGUACCCCGCCUGGGGAGUACGGCCGCAAGGUUGAA